AUUGAACGCUGGCGGCAUGCCUUACACAUGCAAGUCGAACGGUAACGGGCCUUCGGGUGCCGACGAGUGGCGAACGGGUGAGUAAUACAUCGGAACGUGCCCGAUCGUGGGGGAUAACGAGGCGAAAGCUUUGCUAAUACCGCAUACGAUCUACGGAUGAAAGCAGGGGACCGCAAGGCCUUGCGCGGACGGAGCGGCCGAUGGCAGAUUAGGUAGUUGGUGGGAUAAAAGCUUACCAAGCCGACGAUCUGUAGCUGGUCUGAGAGGAUGAUCAGCCACACUGGGACUGAGACACGGCCCAGACUCCUACGGGAGGCAGCAGUGGGGAAUGUUGGACAAUGGGCGCAAGCCUGAUCCAGCCAUGCCGCGUGCAGGAUGAAGGCCUUCGGGUUGUAAACUGCUUUUGUACGGAACGAAAAGCCUUCUUUUAAUACAGGAGGGUCAUGACGGUACCGCAAGAAUAAGCACCGGCUAACUACGUG
Molecule: ribosomal RNA, 482 nt
Filed under: uncultured bacterium
Lineage: Bacteria
Description: partial 16S ribosomal RNA
Rfam family: Bacterial small subunit ribosomal RNA
Source: RNAcentral